Molecule: long non-coding RNA, 457 nt
Organism: Ochlerotatus camptorhynchus
Lineage: Eukaryota; Metazoa; Arthropoda; Insecta; Diptera; Culicidae
Exons: 3
Source: RefSeq, a predicted model, not a curated record
UGACACAACGAUUGCAGUUGGUGAAAAACAGUUGAAGCGGAUUGAUGAUACCGGAAGAACCAGAAAGGAAAAUUUGAAGAAGUUUGAGAAACAGAAAGCUCGGAUCGUGGCUGCCGGAGUGCUGGGGAAGAAGUUUGCUAAGGAUCACGAAACGAGAGCAGCCAUUUUCCAUAGAAACUAGAACUGAAGUAUUGAGAGCAGUUGUGCACAGAUGUGAAGUAUGAAGAACUUCUGGAGGAACAACUUCAACAUAUAAAGACUUUUCGGAGAUCUGGAUUAAAAGCGUUUAAAUUAUUGAUAUUUGGGGAACGGAUCAAUCAGCGGACCCAAGCCUGGUUACUGAAAUUAUUGAAGUGGAAAAAGUCCGACAGGCCAGUCUCUCUUGGGGUUUGGCAGAAGAGUCGCAGCGAUAUCCAACAAGAGUGAACUAACUGUAAUUAUCAAGAUAAAGGGGAAA